GAUGAAGAACGCAGCAAAAUGCGAUAAGUAAUGUGAAUUGCAGAAUUCAGUGAAUCAUCGAAUCUUUGAACGCACAUUGCGCCCGCUGGUAUUCCGGCGGGCAUGCCUGUUCGAGCGUCAUUUCAACCCUCAAGCCCCCGGGUUUGGUGUUGGGGAUCGGCUCUGCCCUUCUGGGCGGUGCCGCCCCCGAAAUACAUUGGCGGUCUCGCUGCAGCCUCCAUUGCGUAGUAGCUAACACCUCGCAACUGGAACGCGGCGCGGCCAUGCCGUAAACCCCAACUUCUGAAUGUUGACCUCGUAUCAGGUAGGAAUACCCGCUGAACUUAAGCAUAUCAAUAAGCGGAGGA
RNAcentral lists this unclassified non-coding RNA (347 nucleotides) under soil metagenome. RNAcentral's name for it is "partial contains 5.8S ribosomal RNA, internal transcribed spacer 2, and large subunit ribosomal RNA". The stretch from base 1 to 120 matches the Rfam family "5.8S ribosomal RNA", at positions 35 to 154 of the family's 154-position model. The record is from RNAcentral.